AGUGAACGCUGGCGGUAGGCCUAACACAUGCAAGUCGAACGGCAGCACAGUAAGAGCUUGCUCUUACGGGUGGCGAGUGGCGGACGGGUGAGGAAUACAUCGGAAUCUACUUUUUCGUGGGGGAUAACGUAGGGAAACUUACGCUAAUACCGCAUACGACCUACGGGUGAAAUCAGGGGAUCUUCGGACCUUGCGCGAUUGAAUGAGCCGAUGUCGGAUUAGCUAGUUGGCGGGGUAAAGGCCCACCAAGGCGACGAUCCGUAGCUGGUCUGAGAGGAUGAUCAGCCACACUGGAACUGAGACACGGUCCAGACUCCUACGGGAGGCAGCAGUGGGGAAUAUUGGACAAUGGGCGAAAGCCUGAUCCAGCCAUACCGCGUGGGUGAAGAAGGCCUUCGGGUUGUAAAGCCCUUUUGUUGGGAAAGAAAAGCAGCAGGUGAAUACCCCGCUGUUCUGACGGUACCCAAAGAAUAAGCACCGGCUAACUUCGUG
Molecule: ribosomal RNA, 492 nt
Filed under: uncultured bacterium
Lineage: Bacteria
Description: partial 16S ribosomal RNA
Rfam family: Bacterial small subunit ribosomal RNA
Source: RNAcentral